CCUACGGGUAGCAGCAGUGGGGAAUAUUGGGCAAUGGAGGCAACUCUGACCCAGCAACGCCGCGUGAAUGAUGAAGGUCUUCGGAUUGUAAAGUUCUUUUCUCAGGGAAGAAGAAAGUGACGGUACCUUAGGACUAAGCCUCGGCUAACUACGUGCCAGCAGCCGCGGUAAUACGUAGGAGGCAAGCGUUAUCCGGAAUGACUGGGCGUAAAGGGUGCGUAGGGGGUUUGACAAGUUGGUAGCGUAACUCCGGAGCUAAACUUCGGAACUACUACCAAAACUGUUGGACUCGAGUGCAGGAGGGGCAACUGGAAUUUCUAGUGUAGCGGUGGAAUGCGUAGAUAUUAGGAAGAACACCGGUGGCGAAGGCGAGUUGCUGGACUGUAACUGACACUGAGGCACGAAAGCGUGGGGAGCAAACAGGAUUAGAUACCCUAGUAGUC
RNAcentral lists this ribosomal RNA (443 nucleotides) under uncultured bacterium. Its description in RNAcentral is "partial 16S ribosomal RNA". It matches the Rfam family "Bacterial small subunit ribosomal RNA", at positions 338 to 795 of the family's 1533-position model. The record is from RNAcentral.